This 640-nucleotide ribosomal RNA is filed under the name uncultured bacterium. RNAcentral's name for it is "bacterial SSU rRNA". It matches the Rfam family "Bacterial small subunit ribosomal RNA", at positions 232 to 885 of the family's 1533-position model. The record is from RNAcentral.
CGCGGCCUAUCAGCUUGUUGGUGAGGUAACGGCUCACCAAGGCAAUGACGGGUAGCUGGUCUGAGAGGACGAUCAGCCACACUGGAACUGAGAUACGGUCCAGACUCCUACGGGAGGCAGCAGGAGGGAAUCUUGCGCAAUGGGCGAAAGCCUGACGCAGCGACGCCGCGUGGGGGAUGAAUGCCUUAGGGUUGUAAACCCCUUUCACGAGGGAAGAAACUGACGGUACCUCGAGAAGAAGCCCCGGCCAACUACGUGCCAGCAGCCGCGGUAAUACGUAGGGGGCGAGCGUUGUCCGGAUUUAUUGGGCGUAAAGGGCCCGUAGGCGGCUUGGCAAGUCGGCCGUGAAAACCCAGGGCUCAACUCUGGGACGCCGGUCGAUACUGCCAUGGCUAGGGUCCGGUAGAGGGGAAUGGAAUUCCCGGUGUAGCGGUGAAAUGCGCAGAUAUCGGGAGGAACACCAGUAGCGAAGGCGGUUCCCUGGGCCGGCACCGACGCUGAGGAGCGAAAGCGUGGGGAGCAAACAGGAUUAGAUACCCUGGUAGUCCACGCCGUAAACGUUGGGUACUAGGCGUGGCGUCUUAUCAACGGAUGCCGUGUUCGAAGCUAACGCGUUAAGUACCCCGCCUGGGGAGUACGG